This 506-nucleotide ribosomal RNA is filed under the name uncultured bacterium. RNAcentral's name for it is "partial 16S ribosomal RNA". It matches the Rfam family "Bacterial small subunit ribosomal RNA", at positions 29 to 523 of the family's 1533-position model. The record is from RNAcentral.
AGUGAACGCUGGCGGUAGGCCUAACACAUGCAAGUCGAACGGCAGCACAGGAGAGCUUGCUCUCUGGGUGGCGAGUGGCGGGCGGGUGAGGAAUACAUCGGAAUCUACUUUUUCGUGGGGGAUAACGUAGGGAAACUUACGCUAAUACCGCAUACGACCUACGGGUGAAAGCAGGGGACCUUCGGGCCUUGCGCGAUUGAAUGAGCCGAUGUCGGAUUAGCUAGUUGGCGGGGUAAAGGCCCACCAAGGCGACGAUACGUAGCUGGUCUGAGAGGAUAAUCAGCAACACUGGAACUGAGACACGGUCCAGACUCCUACGGGAGGCAGCAGUGGGGAAUAUUGGACAAUGGGCGCAAGCCUGAUCCAGCCAUACCGCGUGGGUGAAGAAGGCCUUCGGGUUGUAAAGCCCUUUUGUUGGGAAAGAAAUCCAGCUGGCUAAUACCCGGUUGGGAUGACGGUACCCAAAGAAUAAGCACCGGCUAACUUCGUGCCAGCCGCCGCAGUAA